GGAGAGGUGGCUGAGCGGUCUAAGGCGCACGCCUGGAAAGCGUGUGAGCUGAAAGGCUCCCAGGGUUCGAAUCCCUGCCUCUCCG
This 85-nucleotide transfer RNA is filed under the name Candidatus Omnitrophota bacterium. RNAcentral describes it as "tRNA-Ser". It matches the Rfam family "tRNA". From Rfam's summary of the family: Transfer RNA (tRNA) molecules are approximately 80 nucleotides in length. Their secondary structure includes four short double-helical elements and three loops (D, anti-codon, and T loops). Lineage: Bacteria; Pseudomonadati; Candidatus Omnitrophota. The record is from RNAcentral.